Molecule: long non-coding RNA, 1027 nt
Filed under: Vulpes vulpes (red fox)
Lineage: Eukaryota; Metazoa; Chordata; Mammalia; Carnivora; Canidae
Description: lncRNA (ENSVVUG00000022836.1)
Source: RNAcentral
GGGGCUUCCUCCCCGCCGCUCUCGGUCCUGGUGCUCCUCCGUGGUGCUGGAUCCGCCAGAGGAAGGCCCGGCCCGGGGACGUCCUGCCUGUGGGCUGCUGUGGGAGGGCCCGUGUUCCACAAAGUUCUGUUCUGCUCCGAGUGACCUCUUGCUGCGCGACGUCUGUACAGCAGCGUUGGAGGCGGAAGCGAGUGCCCGAGGCCUGGAGGGGGCACGGCGAGACCAGAAAGGCGGAGCGCACAUUGAAGAAGCGGGAAGGGCCGCAAUUCUGGCCUCGGUGCGCGCAGCGGCGGCCCGGCCGCGUGACAGCCGGGCGGGCGCUGGGGGUGCCCGGCCCCCCGUCCUGACGACCCCUCCCCCAGAUGCAGCCCGAUUCUCCCUCUUUACAAAACGAUGUUCAGGCUGGCGCGCGAGUCCUGUGAAGCGCCACGCGGCCUCCGCCGCCGCCCCCGCACGGCACGCGGCAGCCGCGAACGUGGCUCUGUGUGUUGCCGGCUGCAGUGGGUGUUGGCACGUACGUCAGAGGGCAGGCAAGGACGCUGUGCAAACAGAGGUUCGCCCGCGGGGCCUCGGUCCCACUGCCAGGAGCCUGCCCGGCCCCGCCGCAGCGCCAGCGCCGAGGAGGUGCCCCAGCGUGCACGUCCGCACGCCCAGCGCUACGACCAGGCGAGCAGAGCACCGGAGCUUUCCACCUGACAGGUCACGGUGGGCACCGGGAGUGGCCUCGCCUCUGGCGGCUGUGAGGGACCGUGUUGCGCCACAAGCUGCGGCUCCUCGGCCCACAGCCCGGCCCGCUGCCCUCUCCGCGGCCUUCCUAGCUGUGUCUCCUCAUCCGAGCGGUGGGCAACUGUCGGGAGGUCGUGAGAGUCGCUCAGUGAACGUAUGUACGACCCAGGUGACAGCCCUCGGCUCUCAUGGUGUGUACUCCUCUUCGUUCAUUUGUGGCUUUAUUUCAUGUAUUAACCAGCCCUUUACCACCGAACCUUCAAGUUGUUCCCAGGGAGGCCCGCCCCCCGGCAUUCUGUAG